CCUACGGGAGGCAGCAGUCGAGAAUCAUUCACAAUGGGGGAAACCCUGAUGGUGCGACGCCGCGUGGGGGAAUGAAGGUCUUCGGAUUGUAAACCUCUGUCAUGUGGGAGCAAAUUAAAAAGAUAGUACCACAAGAGGAAGAGACGGCUAACUCUGUGCCAGCAGCCGCGGUAAUACAGAGGUCUCAAGCGUUGUUCGGAAUCACUGGGCGUAAAGGGUGCGUAGGCUGUUUCGUAAGUCGGGUGUGAAAGGCGCGGGCUCAACCCGCGGACGGCAGAUGAUACUGCGAGACUAGAGUAAUGGAGGGGGAACCGGAAUUCUCGGGGUAGCAGUGAAAUGCGUAGAUAUCGAGAGGAACACUCGUGGCGAAGGCGGGUUCCUGGACAUUAACUGACGCUGAGGCACGAAGGCCAGGGGAGCGAAAGGGAUUAGAUACCCGUGUAGUC
This 446-nucleotide ribosomal RNA is filed under the name uncultured bacterium. RNAcentral describes it as "partial 16S ribosomal RNA". It matches the Rfam family "Bacterial small subunit ribosomal RNA", at positions 338 to 795 of the family's 1533-position model. The record is from RNAcentral.